Armatimonadetes bacterium DC is the source of this 30-nucleotide non-coding RNA. The record is from Rfam. NCBI's taxonomy places the organism in Bacteria, Bacillati, Armatimonadota.
GUUUCAAUCCCUCACAGGUAGGCUACAAAC